GAUGAGAACGUAGCGAAAUGCGAAAAGUAAUGUGAAUUGCAGAAUUCAGUGAAUCAUCGAAUCUUUGAACGCACAUUGCGCCCGCUGGUACUCCGGCGGGCACGCCUGUCCGAGCGUCAUUUCAACCCUCAAGCCCUCCUUCGGGAUGGGCCUGGUGUUGGGGCUCGGCCGCCAUCUCCGGCGGCCGUCCCCUAAAUACAGUGGCGGUCACGUCGCGACUCCUUUGCGUAGUAGAAACACCUCGCUCCGGAUAGCAACGCGGUCCACGCCGUAAAAUCCCCAAUUUUCAAUGGUUGACCUCGGAUCAGGUGGGAAUACCCGCUGAACUUAAGCAUAUCAAUAAGCGGAGGA
This 351-nucleotide unclassified non-coding RNA is filed under the name soil metagenome. RNAcentral's name for it is "partial contains 5.8S ribosomal RNA, internal transcribed spacer 2, and large subunit ribosomal RNA". The stretch from base 5 to 119 matches the Rfam family "5.8S ribosomal RNA", at positions 40 to 154 of the family's 154-position model. The record is from RNAcentral.